GUGAGGAAUAUUGGUCAAUGGGCGCAAGCCUGAACCAGCCAUGCCGCGUGCAGGAAGACGGUCCUAUGGAUUGUAAACUGCUUUUAUUUGGGAAUAAACUCCGGUACGUGUACCGGCCUGAAGGUACCAAAUGAAUAAGCACCGGCUAACUCCGUGCCAGCAGCCGCGGUAAUACGGAGGGUGCAAGCGUUAUCCGGAAUCAUUGGGUUUAAAGGGUCCGCAGGCGGUCUUAUAAGUCAGUGGUGAAAGCCUACAGCUCAACUGUAGAACUGCCAUUGAUACUGUAGGACUUGAAUUCGGUCGAAGUGGGCGGAAUGUGACAUGUAGCGGUGAAAUGCUUAGAUAUGUCACAGAACACCGAUAGCGAAGGCAGCUCACUAGGUCUGGAUUGACGCUCAGGGACGAAAGCGUGGGGAGCAAACAGGAUUAGAUACCCCAGUAGUCC
Molecule: ribosomal RNA, 445 nt
Filed under: uncultured bacterium
Lineage: Bacteria
Description: partial 16S ribosomal RNA
Rfam family: Bacterial small subunit ribosomal RNA
Source: RNAcentral